This 429-nucleotide ribosomal RNA is filed under the name Listeria welshimeri. RNAcentral's name for it is "bacterial SSU rRNA". It matches the Rfam family "Bacterial small subunit ribosomal RNA", at positions 89 to 504 of the family's 1533-position model. The record is from RNAcentral. Lineage: Bacteria; Bacillati; Bacillota; Bacilli; Caryophanales; Listeriaceae.
AAGUUAGUGGCGGACGGGUGAGUAACACGUGGGCAACCUGCCUGUAAGUUGGGGAUAACUCCGGGAAACCGGGGCUAAUACCGAAUAAUAAGUGGUGGCGCAUGCYACGGCUUUGAAAGAUGGUUUCGGCUAUCGCUUACAGAUGGGCCCGCGGUGCAUUAGCUAGUUGGUAGGGUAAUGGCCUACCAAGGCAACGAUGCAUAGCCGACCUGAGAGGGUGAUCGGCCACACUGGGACUGAGACACGGCCCAGACUCCUACGGGAGGCAGCAGUAGGGAAUCUUCCGCAAUGGACGAAAGUCUGACGGAGCAACGCCGCGUGUAUGAAGAAGGUUUUCGGAUCGUAAAGUACUGUUGUUAGAGAAGAACAAGGAUAAGAGUAACUGCUUGUCCCUUGACGGUAUCUAACCAGAAAGCCACGGCUAACUAC